RNAcentral lists this long non-coding RNA (963 nucleotides) under Monodelphis domestica (gray short-tailed opossum). RNAcentral's name for it is "lncRNA (ENSMODG00000032531.2)". Lineage: Eukaryota; Metazoa; Chordata; Mammalia; Didelphimorphia; Didelphidae. The record is from RNAcentral.
CUUAUGGGAAGGAAUAGAUAGAACACACUGAAUUUUGUAAAUACGAAUCAUAAAAUAACAGAAUUUCACAGUUGGAAGGAAUAUGAAAGAUCUUGAAGAUAAACCCUUAAGGACAGUUAUAUAGCUGAGAACCAUGGAAUUUUAUAGGGGGAGGGGCAGUUUUCUACUUAGGCAUGUCCAUUGGUUACCUGUUUCUGAUGUCACAAGCAAAGAAAAUUACAGGGACACAACCUAACCAGGCUUCCUAGGAAGAUCUCUUUAAAUAGAGCAUGGAGCUCAAAGUUUCCAGGAUAGAAAAUUAUAGUAUGGACAGUUCCAGGAGGAAAGAUUUCAGAAAAGGGGCAGAGAGAGUGUGCCAGGCAGAGGCACAAACAUCAUUUAGAAGCCUUGUGGGUAUCAGAGAAAUUAGAAAUUUCUGAGCCUACCAUGAUCUGUGUGUGAGAAGUAAGUCUGCAAACAUCAACCAGGCCAUGCAUAAGUGAAGAGGAAGGUGUACUGGUCUGGUACAGAGACUGAAUGAAUGAUAACAAAUGGAUAGGCAGAGUUGUUCAAGUAUCUCUGAAGCACUUUCAAAAACCAGAAAAAGGCCUCCAGGAUGGUGGGUAACUGUAGGUAUUUACAGACAGACACCGUAAAAGACCUUACCUGAAAGGACUAUGUUAUGUACUAGCAGAGGGAGAGUCCAAGUUCAUAGGACCUUCAAAUCUUGGUCAAAGCUGAUGGGUGGUCUUUUGGAAAGAACACUGGAUCUGGAAGCAAAGGACCUAGGUAUGGCAUUUGGACAUGUUCUUUGCUUCUGUGACUUUGGAAUUCACUGAGGAGUGAUCCAUACUGGUGGAUACCAGCACCAAUAAUAGAAUGGAAGGAGGUGAAGGUGAGGAGGGAAUCCUUGCUAUCCAAAGAUUGAAACCAAACUGAGUCCUGAGCCUACUGUGAUCUCAUCUAGUCCAAAGUCUCAUUCAG